This 252-nucleotide unclassified non-coding RNA is filed under the name plant metagenome. Its description in RNAcentral is "partial contains small subunit ribosomal RNA, internal transcribed spacer 1, and 5.8S ribosomal RNA". The stretch from base 1 to 53 matches the Rfam family "Eukaryotic small subunit ribosomal RNA", at positions 1778 to 1831 of the family's 1831-position model. The record is from RNAcentral.
GGAAGUAAAAGUCUAACAAGGUCUCCGUUGGUGAACCAGCGGAGGGAUCAUUACAGAGUUGCAAAACUCCCAAACCAUUGUGAACGUUACCUAUCCCGUUGCUUCGGCGGGCGGCCCGGGCCCCGCGCCCGGCGCCCCCCGGCCCCCCGUGGGCGCCCGCCGGAGGUAAACCAAACCCUUGAAUUGCAUGGCCUCUCUGAGUCCUCUGUACUGAAUAAGUCAAAACUUUCAACAACGGAUCUCUUGGUUCUG